AUGAACCUUCUAAGUUGGAAUUACCGGGGGGGGGGAGGGAACUCCUGGAUAGUUCGCGAGUUAGCGAUGUUGGUUAAGUCGCAUUCCCCCAUAAUCGUUUUCUUAUGCUAAACUAGGCAGAAAGAGAGCAAGAUGAAAAUGAUUCAUGGCAUAUUGGGCCUUAAAGGGUUUGCCGGCGUGGACAACAAUGGCUUGAGUGGCGACCUAGCUUUAUAUUGGCAUGAGUCAUGUAUUGUGGAAGUGGUGGAUAAAGAUGAUCGAUGUAUUGAUGCACUAGUCAGAACCCAUGAAGGAGCUGGACAAUGGAGAGUUACUUGUGUAUACGGUGAACCUCGCGUAGAGAAUCACCACCUCAUGUGGGAAAAGUUGAAAGCCUUGAAAAGUACCAGCGAUUUACCAUGGUUGGUAAUUGGUGAUUUUAAUGAAGCUCUGGGACUUCGAACAUAUUUCAGCGACCCCGAGAGCGGAAGCACAGAUGGUUGCUUUUAG
Molecule: ribosomal RNA, 489 nt
Filed under: Triticum aestivum (bread wheat)
Lineage: Eukaryota; Viridiplantae; Streptophyta; Magnoliopsida; Poales; Poaceae
Description: partial small subunit ribosomal RNA
Source: RNAcentral